GCCAUUUUAUAGAUAAGAACUCAGGCCUCAUGUCUCACAGCUAGUAAAGGACAAAGCUGGGGUUUGAUGUCAGGCAGUCUGGUUCCAGAAUGUGGCAUUUAAGCACUAUGCCAUGUUGCCUAUAACGAUAACUAAAACUUGUUCAUAACGCGUCCAGAAGAUUGUAUAUGUGCGUCGGGGGGAAGUGUCACUUUGACAUAUUGAUCUAUUGAUAUAUUCUGGUUGUGGUUGAGGAAAACAUGGAGAAAUGGCAGUCUUUAUUGGUUAAACAACAUUGCUUAAGAAUAAGAAUAUUGGUUCAUCUAAAACAUGUUUAGAGUCCACCGCAUUCCUCAUUUUGAGGCUCCUUUCUUCGGUUUCAAAGCCAGCAGGAUGGCACUUAUCAAUCUCGCUGCUGCUCUGACCCUCGUGGCUCCCUCAUGUAAGGACACUUGUGAUUACACUGGGCCUGUGAGAAUAAUCCACAGGUAACCGCCCUUUCGAGUCUGCUAGGGCUGCAUAAUAAAAUACCACGGACUAGGUGGCUUGAAAAACACAUUUGUUUUCUCCACUUCUAGAAGCUUCUACUCCUGGAAGGCUGGAAGUUGAAGACCAAAGUGCUGGCAGGACUGGUAGUAGAGAGGAGGCCCCUCUCCUAGGCUUGCAGAUGGCUGCCUUCUCGCCGUGUCCUUGCAUGGCCUUUUCUCUGUGUGCAUAUCCUUGGAGUCUCUCUUCUUGUAAGGACACCAGUCAUCGGAUUAGGGCCCCACGUUUAUGACCUCAUUUACUCUUAAUUAUCUCCUUAAAGAUCAUUCUAUCUCCAAACACAGUUACCUUGGGAGUUUGGGCUCAACAUAUGCAUUUUGUGGGGGACAUAACAUCUUCCCAUCUAAAGAUCCUUAGUUCAAUCGUUUCUGCAAAGUUCCUUUUGCCAUCGACGAGUGUCCUAACUCUCCAUUGGCUACUCGGGUCUCUUCUCCUGCCCAGCACUGAGAACAGACUUCCUCCAGCUGCUGAUGCCCCUGAGGAACAUGGAACAUUCCCUUUUCUUGGGGCCACAGAGCAAGUAAGCAAGGUAGUGAACAUGGGCUCCAACUGACUCAAGAAGACGUGACAACUACAUGCAAAAUCUGGCCUGGCAUUGGAUCCUGGGCCGGAAAAAGACAAUUAGAAGGACAAUUGAUGAAAUUUGAAUGAGGCACCAGGGCUGUGUCCACACUGAACUAUGGGAUGCUCCUAGGAAAUGCUACACGUUUGAGCCUCUGACAUUCGGCACAUGCUCUGUCCAUCUGGAGCACCCUUAUUCCUUUCUCUACCUACUGUCAUUGCAUUUACCCUUCAAGACUCAGCAAAUGCUGUCUCCUCCAUGAAGGCUUCCUGAAUGCGCCAGAUCGCUCUAAUGUGAAGACAUCCUCGGUAAGACUCAACCAACGAUAUUUCAUCUGAUCAUCAUUUAGCCAAACCACAACAAUACUCCUGAGGCCUCUUCAGUUUCACUGACAGCAUCUGUCAUUUCAGUUACUGCAAAUGUGAUCUCUCGCAAUGAUGCUAGCUGGGUCUCUCUGUGGCCUGGAAGGAAAACGAAUACCAUUUUAAUAAAAAUAUUUUAACGUUU
This is a non-coding RNA of Microcebus murinus (gray mouse lemur), 1594 nucleotides long. The record is from RefSeq and is a predicted model, not a curated record. NCBI's taxonomy places the organism in Eukaryota, Metazoa, Chordata, Mammalia, Primates, Cheirogaleidae.